RNAcentral lists this unclassified non-coding RNA (229 nucleotides) under Hevea brasiliensis (rubber tree). The record is from RNAcentral. Lineage: Eukaryota; Viridiplantae; Streptophyta; Magnoliopsida; Malpighiales; Euphorbiaceae.
GGGGAAGUGAAAAAUUUACCGUCGGUGACAGGCUGACAGAUGUCUUUCUUCCUCAAAAAGCUCACUGCAGCUCAAACUAAACUUUCCUUGCACAAAAUUCAUUGGCUUUCACACAUGAAUUGGGAUAUGGAGAUUGAAGAAAUAGAAGCUGUUCUCGAGAAAAUCUGGGACCUUCACGACAAAUUGAGCGACGCCAUUCACUCAAUUUCCCGCACCCACUUCCUCAACU